RNAcentral lists this ribosomal RNA (464 nucleotides) under uncultured bacterium. RNAcentral describes it as "partial 16S ribosomal RNA". It matches the Rfam family "Bacterial small subunit ribosomal RNA", at positions 29 to 507 of the family's 1533-position model. The record is from RNAcentral.
ACGAACGCUGGCGGCGUGCUUAACACAUGCAAGUCGAACGGAAAGGCCCCUUUGGGGGUACUCGAGUGGCGAACGGGUGAGUAACACGUGAGUAACCUGCCCUUGACUUCGGGUUAACUUCAGGAAACUGGGGCUAAUACCGGAUAGGAAUCCUUGCUGCAUGGUGGGGGUUGGAAAGCUUCGGCGGUUUUGGAUGGACUCGCGGCUUAUCAGCUUGUUGGUGGGGUAGUGGCUUACCAAGGCUUUGACGGGUAGCCGGCCUGAGAGGGCGACCGGCCACAUUGGGACUGAGAUACGGCCCAGACUCCUACGGGAGGCAGCAGUGGGGAAUAUUGCACAAUGGGCGGAAGCCUGAUGCAGCAACGCCGCGUGCGGGAGGACGGCCUUCGGGUUGUAAACCGCUUUCAGCAGGGGCGAAGCUUGUGGUGACGGUACCUGCAGAAGAAGCACCGGCUAACUACGUG